Long non-coding RNA from Nymphalis io (European peacock), 645 nucleotides. RefSeq lists it as uncharacterized. The record is from RefSeq and is a predicted model, not a curated record. Lineage: Eukaryota; Metazoa; Arthropoda; Insecta; Lepidoptera; Nymphalidae. The transcript is spliced from 2 exons.
GUAAUUCAAUUAUACUAUCAAUAACCGAUGUAAUCAUUAAAUUAAAAUAUCAAAGUGUGAUUUAUGCGUUAAAAAUGAAAUAAGUUUCCGCAUUCAUUUUUAGCAUGACAGAUGUAUUCGAUAUUAUGAAAAUAUUAUGGGGACUUCUGAUUUUUUUAAUACUUGAAUCAUACCAAGCAUUUGACGAAGACUGCUUCACGAAAGAUCCAGUUUGUGGUACCGAUGGCAUAACAUAUAGCAACAUUUGUAAAUUUUACGAAGCUAAGAGAUUAGAUCGGGAUUUGUCCGUCUUAUAUGAUGGACCUUGUUUAACUAAAGCGGUACACACAUUAAAAAAAAUGUCUCAUAUUAAAAGGAUUACAAAUACUGUAAGACAUAAUGAAAAAGUAAAAUCAAGUCAUCGAACGGCUAAUUACACAUCUGACAUAAUAAGGAUGGAAAACAAUAUACCAGUUUACGCCGCAAACUCGACGUUACUUCUUAUUUUCGACGACUGUUACAAGAAAUGUCCAUCGUGUCCAAGAAAAAUUAAUUUAGUUAAUAAUUUGAUAUUUUUUAAACGCAAAUGUUUUCGGUGUUGUUUGAAUAGUUAAAAAUGUGUUCGAUACAGAAGUACAUAUACAAUUAUAAUUUGAAUUCCAAAUA